This is a long non-coding RNA of Psammomys obesus (fat sand rat), 843 nucleotides long. RefSeq lists it as uncharacterized. The transcript has 2 exons. Lineage: Eukaryota; Metazoa; Chordata; Mammalia; Rodentia; Muridae. The record is from RefSeq and is a predicted model, not a curated record.
CAGAGGUCUAGAUUUCCAGACCUCUCCGCUACAGAGUGGGUUCUAGAUCAGCCCGACCACACGAGACUCCGGAACCAGAGCUAAGCAGAGCAGGUGCUAGGGCGGCACUUCAUAAAAAUCAGUAAGUCCCAUUUCAUAACGGUGAGCCUGGCAGGUGAACUGAAAGCCAGAGAGGACGUGGCACCUGAUAUGCUCCCACGGGAGCAGCUAGGAUGGGGUGAAGAACGUUUCCUUGGCCUACCGGGUAGCAGAUGGCUCACCUCUCCAUCUGCCUGGGAUGACGAAGAAGGGGGUGUACACCGAGGGUGGGGUCUCUGAGGAACUAGGGUGAUGAAGACAUGAGCACUAACAACCAGACCCCACAGCUGAGCAGAUCGAGCUUGGAACUCCUUUGCUGUGUCCCCAGGACAGGUGGUCCCUGAACCAGGCUGCCUCACUUCUCCUUGGUGGGGCCUCCCACAGCUGAGCAUUUACACAGGACAAAAAGAAGCUCUUCAGGCAAAAGCUGCUUUCAAAGACUGCUCUCUCUAAAAGGAAAUUGACACUACCUUUUCCCACAAGAAGUUCAAAGAAUGGUGAUUACUCAGAACUUUUCCUCCACAUUCUUGUGAAUAUUUGAUAAAUUCCCAGUGCCUCCCAUUGUCGUCAGUCCGGGAAGCCAGGCGUGCAGAGCCUCAGCAACCGUAGCAACUGAGGUCAUAGCAACUGCACAAACCAUUGUGUAACAAUCGUGUGUGUAUUCGUGAGUGACUGAGUGCGUGCGCAUUUGUGUGUGUUUGCACAUAUGUGGGUGUGUUCCUUUGUUUGAUAAGGAAAGGAAAUGCAAAUAAAGAACUAAUGACU